Molecule: transfer RNA, 69 nt
Filed under: Amphilophus citrinellus (Midas cichlid)
Lineage: Eukaryota; Metazoa; Chordata; Actinopteri; Cichliformes; Cichlidae
Also listed under: 1 other name
Description: tRNA-His
Rfam family: tRNA
About the family: Transfer RNA (tRNA) molecules are approximately 80 nucleotides in length.
Source: RNAcentral
GUAGGCAUAGUUUAACAAAAACAUUAGAUUGUGAUUCUAAAAACAGAGGUUAGACUCCUCUUGCCCACC